UUUCCGUAGGCGAACCUGCGGAAGGAUCAUUAAUGAGUUGUCAUGGGGUUCGAUGCUGGCAGCCAGUUUUUGGAUGCAUGUGCUUGCCCUAACAAUCAUCUUCUUCCAAACACCUGUGCACAUUUUUGAGGGAGUCUUGAGUUGGUUGCCGCUCUUGGGUGAUUUUCUCACAUUCCCUUAAAUCAUUAUACGCUAUUAACAAAGUUGAACGUGCUCUGUGCCGCAAGGCCAUUAAUAUAAUACAACUUUUAACAACGGAUCUCUUGGCUCUC
Molecule: unclassified non-coding RNA, 272 nt
Filed under: plant metagenome
Description: partial contains small subunit ribosomal RNA, internal transcribed spacer 1, and 5.8S ribosomal RNA
Source: RNAcentral